ACAGUGCACCCAGCUGGGCGCUUCGGCAGUUUGCAGCUGCGGCGGGGUCGGGUCCACCCGCGGUCCCCGGAAUGCCGGACGGCUGAUCCCGGGUGCUGGUCACUCGCCGAUUCGGGGCUGGGAAGGUUUGCCAGAAGCGGGAAAGAUGGGAGAUCUGAGCGCUCUCUUGGCAUCGCCACACCCAGGACUUGCUCGUGCCGCAAUUCCCCACGGAAACAACCGAGUUGAAACGAGAAGCUUGCUCUCUGGGUGCAGUAGCUAGAAGGCUUCAGGUAACUCCAAAGCCAACACUGGGUGAGGCAACACACGCCGCCUCAGGACUCAGCAUUUCUUUCAGGCUGCGUUUUCGUGGCAGACCUACCCAGAUUGAUGGAGAAAGUUUGGCUGGCGGAUAAGAAGUAACGCGGAAGAUGUGUACGUGAGAGCGAUUUCACUUCACUCACUUUCUCAUUUAAAGAUUAUUGUGGCUGUCACUCAGGUUUUCUGCUCAUUGGUAGACAAAGGGUGAGGAGGUGACUGAAAUUGGAACAGUGGAAGGACCCUUCACCAAAACCUGGAACUUCAGAAGAAUGGCAGGGCUGAAAAUGAUUAGUGUUAAUUCAUUCCAGUUGUGUUACCCUACCCAUAAGACUGCCUGAAGGAGCCUGAACUUCCACGUGCUGUCUUCCAUAUAAUGUGAUCUGAGGUGAAGAGCAUGGUCCCUGGAGUUGAACUGCCUGAAGUAAAUCCCAAAAUAGAAAAAUAAAAAUAAAACAGUGGUUUUAUUGUUUU
RNAcentral lists this long non-coding RNA (771 nucleotides) under Homo sapiens (human). RNAcentral's name for it is "non-protein coding lnc-TMEM212-1:10". The record is from RNAcentral. Lineage: Eukaryota; Metazoa; Chordata; Mammalia; Primates; Hominidae.